This 394-nucleotide ribosomal RNA is filed under the name uncultured Glaciimonas sp. Its description in RNAcentral is "bacterial SSU rRNA". It matches the Rfam family "Bacterial small subunit ribosomal RNA", at positions 8 to 402 of the family's 1533-position model. Lineage: Bacteria; Pseudomonadati; Pseudomonadota; Betaproteobacteria; Burkholderiales; Oxalobacteraceae. The record is from RNAcentral.
AGAGUUUGAUCCUGGCUCAGAUUGAACGCUGGCGGCAUGCCUUACACAUGCAAGUCGAACGGCAGCACGGGGGCAACCCUGGUGGCGAGUGGCGAACGGGUGAGUAAUAUAUCGGAACGUGCCCUGGAGUGGGGGAUAACUAGUCGAAAGAUUAGCUAAUACCGCAUACGAUCUACGGAUGAAAGUGGGGGACCCGCAAGGGCCUCAUGCUCCUGGAGCGGCCGAUAUCUGAUUAGCUAGUUGGUGAGGUAAAGGCUCACCAAGGCAUCGAUCAGUAGCUGGUCUGAGAGGACGACCAGCCACACUGGGACUUAGACACGGCCCAGACUCCUACGGGAGGCAGCAGUGGGGAAUUUUGGACAAUGGGCGCAAGCCUGAUCCAGCAAUGCCGCGU